AUGCAUUCAUUUAGCUUCUUUUAUGAUUCCUCCUUCAACAUUUUUUUUUUAAAUUCCCAGCCUGGAGAUGGAACUGGAUACCACCCAGUCAAAUUGCAUUAUUUCGACCAUCUGCUGCAGGAAGCCAUGACAGGCAUGGCCGUCUGUGAGAAUCCAGUAGUUUUGCCACAAGCGGCGCCACCACUGGUGACUUGUAGAACUACACAUGUCACUGUGAAGCUGCCUCAUGGGACAAAACUGAGGAAGGUAAAAGAGCUUGAUUUUUUCACUCAUGAAGGAUUCUCAGUGAUACAACGGAAGACCCCCAAUGCUUUGUUUGUGCAGAUAUCCAAGUUAUCAGACACGGAUUCUGGAUUUGAACUAGUUUAUGUUGACUCUACUGGGAAACUGUGCACAAUGCUGGCUGUCUGUGACCAAAAAAAAGUGAGGCAUCGUGUUGGGAGAGCUCUGGAGGAACCGGAUUUAUUCGAUCUGUGGGACUUCGAGGAAGUUCCCGUUGAACCAUUUGAUCCAGACACAACACAGGCAACAGACAGCUCUGAAACUGAUACAUUGGAGGAAAGUGAUGAUGCAGGAUUUUAUUUGUUGUGGGGAUUUGAAGAAAUUCCUGAAGAUCCAUACACUGGAAUAGACACAGAGAUUACAGAACCUACAGCUCCCACGACUAUUACUACUGCUGCUCCUACCACGACAGCAGCCCCCGACACGACGACCGUGACCACGCCAGUCCCCGUGACCACCGCAGCCCCUAGUACAACGAUUACCACAGCUGCCCCUGCAACGACGACCACAGCAGCUCCCGCCACCACAAUGGUCCCAACCGCAGCCCCAUCCACCUCAACCAGUGUUGUGUCUACCACAACAACCAGCGCCCCCUCCUCCACCACAGCGACCAGCGUGGCUUCAACCACAACAACCAGCGCCCCCUCCUCCACCACAGCGACCAGCGUGGCUUCAACCACAACAACCAGCGCCCCCUCCUCCACCACAGCGACCAGCGUGGCUUCAACCACAACAACCAGCGCCCCCUCCUCCACCACAGCGACCAGCGUGGCUUCAACCACAACAACCAGCGCCCCCUCCUCCACCACAGCGACCAGCGUGGCUUCCUCAACAACGCCUAGCGCCCCCUCCUCCACCACAUUGACCAGCGCCCCCUCCUCCACAACAACCAGCAUGGCUUUCACCACAACGACCAGCCCCCCCCUCCACCACGUCUAACACUCCUUCCACCACGAGCGCGGGCUCAACGACGACCAGUGUUGCCUCAACCACGACGACGACCAACACUCCUUCCACCACUCCCACCACGACGACCCCUGCCUCCACCACGACCAGCGACCCCUGCCUCCACCACGAGCGACCCCCUGCCUCCACCACACAGACCCCUGCCUCCACCACGACGACCCCUGCCUCCACCACGACGACCCCUGCCUCCACCACGACGACCCCUGCCUCCACCACGACGACCCCUGCCUCCACCACGACGACCCCUGCCUCCACCACGACGACGACCAACACUCCUUCCACCACGACGACCCCUGCCCCCACCACGACGACCCCUGCCCCCACCACGACGACCCCUGCCCCCACCACGACGACCCCUGCCCCCCACCACGACGACCCCUGCCCCCACCACGACGACCCCUGCCCCCACCACGACGACCCCUGCCCCCACCACGGCGACCCCUGCCCCCACCACGACGACCCCUGCCCCCACCACGACGACCCCUGCCCCCACCACGACGACCCCUGCCCCCACCACGACGACCCCUGCCCCCACCACGACGACCCCUGCCCCCCCCACCACGAGCCCCUGCCCCCACCACGACGACCCCUGCCCCCCACCACGACGACCCCUGCCCCCACCACGACGACCCCUGCCCCCACCACGACGACCCCUGCCCCCCACCACGACGACCCCUGCCCCCACCACGACGACCCCUGCCCCCACCACGACGACCCCUGCCCCCACCACGACGACCCCUGCCCCCACCACGACGACCCCUGCCCCCACCACGACGACCCCUGCCCCCCACCACGACGACCCCUGCCCCCACCACGACGACCCCUGCCCCCACCACGACGACCCCUGCCCCCACCACGACGACCCCUGCCCCCACCACGACGACCCCUGCCCCCACCACGGCGACCCCUGCCCCCACCACGACGACCCCUGCCCCCACCACGACCGCCCCUGCCCCCACCACGACGACCCCUGCCCCCCACCACGACGACCCCUGCCCCCACCACGACGACCCCUGCCCCCACCACGACGACCCCUGCCCCCCACCACGACGACCCCUGCCCCCACCACGACGACCCCUGCCCCCACCACGACGACCCCUGCCCCCCACCACGACGACGACCCCUGCCCCCACCACGACGACGACGACCCCUGCCCCCACCACGACGACGACCCCUGCCCCCCCCACCACGGACGACGACCCCUGCCCCCCCACCACGACGACGACCCCUGCCCCCACCACGACGACGACCCCUGCCCCCACCACGACGACGACCCCUGCCCCCACCACGACGACCCCUGCCCCCACCACGACGACGACCCCUGCCCCCCACCACGACGACGACCCCUGCCCCCACCACGACGACGACCACCCCCCCCCCACCACCACCACGACGACCCCUGCCCCCCACCACCACGACGACCCCUGCCCCCACCACCACCACGACGACCCCGACCCCCUCCGUAGAGCGCAGCUACAGAAUGGAAGUCAAAAUUGGGUUUUAAUCAAUAAAUGUAUAAAAUACAGAAAUUACUGUUACUACAGCAUAAAGUUGUUGUAAAAAAUGUACAUACUUGUAAUGGACCUGUAUGUUAUGUCUGUAUUGGGAUGACGAUUAAAAUAUAUUUUCUCUAACAGUCUGACUGGAAAAUGCACUUUUUUGAACAGCGAGAAUUUGAUCGUUCGUCCUUUUUUCCGUUGCCAACAACGCCCUUUGGUAGCCAUCAACAAACUUUUGGCAAAAUUAAGUUUGGAUAUUUGACCACUGUGCUUGGCACUUUCUUUAAUACAAAGGACCAGAGCAUGAUACUAAUAGUCUUAGGGUUGCAUUCCUCAACUUUUCUCCUCUAAAUCUGCUCAUUGUCAUUGGCAAAAUAACCAGACCACAAAACUCUCCCCAAGAAGGUUCUUGUUUGUCAAUGUGAGCAAACUUGAGUUAAGUUUAAGGUGCUUGUGGCCUUUCAAAUGCAUAGUGAUGUAGAACGUGUUUCACUGAGGACAGCGACACCGGUGUUAAAACAGCUUCUAAAUCAUGGCAGACUGUUGGUUUUCUUCCAGACCCUGCUAAAGAGAAGGUCUUUGGACUUUCCCAUUGUGAUGUUUGUGGCUCAGUCUAAUGUGUGCAGUCAAACAAGCUAUUUACUGUAACAGCUUGUUUACGCAUCAUACAGAAAAUUAUAUCCACAUAUUUCAGUACAAUUUGAACACCCUUUUCAAGGUAAAGGCACUGUAGUGAUAUUUUAUAACUUCACUUGUGAAAGAAUUUCUGGAAGUCAGCCGGAUGAGGGGCUAUAUCGUUCUACUUACACUAUGUCAUUGCAAAUUAAAUUAUAUGAACAUUUCGAUUUUUCAUGGACAUUAUACUGGGAAAAGAGCAUGCCGUAAAACUUGAAUUAAUAGCCCAGGCUUUUCUUUUCUUUCC
RNAcentral lists this long non-coding RNA (3669 nucleotides) under Dicentrarchus labrax (European seabass). RNAcentral describes it as "lncRNA (ENSDLAG00005030506.1)". The record is from RNAcentral. Lineage: Eukaryota; Metazoa; Chordata; Actinopteri; Moronidae.